CCUACGGGGGGCAGCAGUGGGGAAUAUUGGGCAAUGGGCGCAAGCCUGACCCAGCAACGCCGCGUGAAGGAAGAAGGCUUUCGGGUUGUAAACUUCUUUUAUGAGGGACGAAACAAAUGACGGUACCUCAUGAAUAAGCCACGGCUAACUACGUGCCAGCAGCCGCGGUAAUACGUAGGUGGCAAGCGUUAUCCGGAUUUACUGGGUGUAAAGGGCGUGUAGGCGGGACUGCAAGCCAGAUGUGAAAAUUAUGGGCUCAACCCAUAACCUGCAUUUGAAACUGUAGGUCUUGAGUGAUGGAGAGG
RNAcentral lists this ribosomal RNA (305 nucleotides) under uncultured bacterium. RNAcentral describes it as "bacterial SSU rRNA". It matches the Rfam family "Bacterial small subunit ribosomal RNA", at positions 338 to 657 of the family's 1533-position model. The record is from RNAcentral.